GACGAACGCUGGCGGCGUGCCUAAUACAUGCAAGUAGAACGCUGAAGAGAGGAGCUUGCUCUUCUUGGAUGAGUUGCGAACGGGUGAGUAACGCGUAGGUAACCUGCCUUGUAGCGGGGGAUAACUAUUGGAAACGAUAGCUAAUACCGCAUAACAAUGGAUGACACAUGUCAUUUAUUUGAAAGGGGCAAUUGCUCCACUACAAGAUGGACCUGCGUUGUAUUAGCUAGUAGGUGAGGUAAUGGCUCACCUAGGCGACGAUACAUAGCCGACCUGAGAGGGUGAUCGGCCACACUGAGACUGAGACACGGCCCAGACUCCUACGGGAGGCAGCAGUAGGGAAUCUUCGGCAAGGGGGGCAACCCUGACCGAGCAACGCCGCGUGAGUGAAGAAGGUUGUCGGAUCGUAAAGCUCUGUUGUAAGUCAAGAACGGGUGUGAGAGUGGAAAGUUCACACUGUGACGGUAGCUUACCAGAAAGGGACGGCUAACUACGUG
This 497-nucleotide ribosomal RNA is filed under the name uncultured bacterium. RNAcentral's name for it is "partial 16S ribosomal RNA". It matches the Rfam family "Bacterial small subunit ribosomal RNA", at positions 28 to 507 of the family's 1533-position model. The record is from RNAcentral.